Molecule: ribosomal RNA, 497 nt
Filed under: uncultured bacterium
Lineage: Bacteria
Description: partial 16S ribosomal RNA
Rfam family: Bacterial small subunit ribosomal RNA
Source: RNAcentral
GAUGAACGCUGGCGGCGUGCCUAAUACAUGCAAGUCGAGCGAACAGAUGAGGAGCUUGCUCCUCUGACGUUAGCGGCGGACGGGUGAGUAACACGUGGAUAACCUACCUAUAAGACUGGGAUAACUUCGGGAAACCGGAGCUAAUACCGGAUAAUAUAUUGAACCGCAUGGUUCAAUAGUGAAAGACGGUUUUGCUGUCACUUAUAGAUGGAUCCGCGCCGCAUUAGCUAGUUGGUAAGGUAACGGCUUACCAAGGCAACGAUGCGUAGCCGACCUGAGAGGCGGAUCGGCCACACUGGAACUGAGACACGGUCCAGACUCCUACGGGAGGCAGCAGUAGGGAAUCUUACGCAAUGGGCGAAAGCCUGACGGAGCAACGCCGCGUGAGUGAUGAAGGUCUUCGGAUCGUAAAACUCUGUUAUUAGGGAAGAACAAAUGUGGAAGUAACUAUGCACGUCUUGACGGUACCUAAUCAGAAAGCCACGGCUAACUACGUG